Molecule: transfer RNA, 76 nt
Filed under: Rhodocyclaceae bacterium
Lineage: Bacteria; Pseudomonadati; Pseudomonadota; Betaproteobacteria; Rhodocyclales; Rhodocyclaceae
Also listed under: 2 other names
Description: tRNA-Pro
Rfam family: tRNA
About the family: Transfer RNA (tRNA) molecules are approximately 80 nucleotides in length. Their secondary structure includes four short double-helical elements and three loops (D, anti-codon, and T loops). Further hydrogen bonds mediate the characteristic L-shaped molecular structure. tRNAs have two regions of fundamental functional importance: the anti-codon, which is responsible for specific mRNA codon recognition, and the 3' end, to which the tRNAs corresponding amino acid is attached (by aminoacyl-tRNA synthetases). tRNAs cope with the degeneracy of the genetic code in two manners: having more than one tRNA (with a specific anti-codon) for a particular amino acid; and 'wobble' base-pairing, i.e. permitting non-standard base-pairing at the 3rd anti-codon position.
Source: RNAcentral
CUCUCUGUAGCGCAGCUGGGAGCGCGCCUGUUUCGGGAACAGGAGGUCGCGUGUUCGAUUCACGCCAGGGAGACCA